CUAAAACCCUAGCCCAAUUGACCUCCGAUACUAACCCCAAUAAACCAAAAUAUUUAACCGAUUUAGUAAAGAAGAUUAAAAAAUAAAUUAGAGCAAUAAACAUGUACCGCAAGGGAAAGAUGAAAUAACAAUGAAAUAGCCCUAAAGUAUAAAAAAGUAGAGCCAAACUCUCGUACCUUUUGCAUCAUGGUUUAACUAGUAAGACCAGGCAAAAAGAUUUAUAGUCUGACCCCCCGAAACUAAGUGAGCUACUCUAGGACAGCUUAAUGAGCAAACCCGUCUCUGUUGCAAAAGAGUGGGAAGAUCCUAAAGUAGGGAUAAUAUACCUAACGAACUUAGCAAUAGCUGGUUACUCAGGAAAAGAAUUUUAGUUCAACCUAAAGCCACCACAAUACCACAACAUACAAGCCCGGCUUUAAAGUUAAUCAAAUAAGUUACAGCCUAUUUGACACAGGAGACAGCCUCCACCUCUGGGUAAUACAAAACUACAAGUAGUGUAGUAGGCCUAAAAGCAGCCAUCUUUCAAAAAGCGUCAAAGCUUAACCAUAACCCCCUCUAAAUCCCCCAACCAAAUUAAAACCCUACCACAAUACUGAGUAAUCCCAUACCCAUAUGGAAAUUCUAAUGUUAAAACUAGUAACAAGAAAUAGACCUUCUCUUAAAUGUAAACGCAGGUCAGAACGGACCGCCCACUGACACCCAACAACCCUAAUUCUACAGUAGUACCUACCCCAAGAAAACCCUACUCAAACGAUUGUUAACCUAACACAAGAACAUUUUAAGAAAGACUGAAAGAAAAAGAAGGAACUCGGCAAAAAUUGACUCCGCCUGUUUACCAAAAACAUCGCCUCCUGUAGAUCUAUAAGAGGUCCAGCCUGCCCAGUGACCCAGUUUAACGGCCGCGGUAUCCUAACCGUGCGAAGGUAGCGUAAUCACCUGUUUUCUAAUUAAAGACCCGUAUGAAAGGCACCACGAGAGUCACACUGUCUCCUUUUUCCAGUCAGUGAAACUAAUCUUCCCGUGAAAAAGCGGGAAUUCACAUACAAGACGAGAAGACCCUUUGGAGCUUAAGACAAAAUAAUACAUGUUAUUUUUUCCCCCCCCCCCUCACCUCACAGCACCUUACUUAUAAGUCUUGGGUUGGGGCAACCACGGAGUAAAAAUAAACCUCCAAGAUGAACGGAACCCUCCUAAACAAAAAGCCACAACUUUAUGUAUCAACAAACUGACAUCAUUAGACCCAAUAUUUUUGAUUAACGAACCAAGUUACCCAAGGGAUAACAGCGCAAUCCACUUCAAGAGUCCAUAUCGACAAGUGGGCUUACGACCUCGAUGUUGGAUCAAGAUACCCCAGUGGUGCAGCCGCUACUAAAGGUUCGUUUGUUCAACGAUUAAAACCUCACGUGAUCUGAGUUCAGACCGGAGUAAUCCAGGUCAGUUUCUAUCUGUAAUAGAGCUUUUUCCAGUACGAAAGGACAGAAACAACAUGGCCAAUAUGCCACAUACGCCAUCUUAAUAACUUUUUGAUUUCUAUUAAAAACCCAUUAAUCUAACCUUACCCCCUCAAAACAAGAGC
Molecule: ribosomal RNA, 1576 nt
Filed under: Eleutherodactylus zeus (Zeus' robber frog)
Lineage: Eukaryota; Metazoa; Chordata; Amphibia; Anura; Eleutherodactylidae
Description: partial 16S ribosomal RNA
Rfam family: Bacterial large subunit ribosomal RNA
Source: RNAcentral